GUGAACGCUGGCGGUAGGCCUAACACAUGCAAGUCGAACGGCAGCACAGUAAGAGCUUGCUCUUACGGGUGGCGAGUGGCGGACGGGUGAGGAAUACAUCGGAAUCUACUUUUUCGUGGGGGAGAACGUAGGGAAACCUACGCUAAUACCGCAUACGACCUACGGGUGAAAGCAGGGGAUCUUCGGACCUUGCGCGAUUGAAUGAGCCGAUGUCGGAUUAGCUAGUUGGCGGGGUAAAGGCCCACCAAGGCGACGAUCCGUAGCUGGUCUGAGAGGAUGAUCAGCCACACUGGAACUGAGACACGGUCCAGACUCCUACGGGAGGCAGCAGUGGGGAAUAUUGGACAAUGGGCGCAAGCCUGAUCCAGCCAUACCGCGUGGGUGAAGAAGGCCUUCGGGUUGUAAAGCCCUUUUGUUGGGAAAGAAAAGCAGCAGGUUAAUACCCCGCUGUUCUGACGGUACCCAAAGAAUAAGCACCGGCUAACUUCGUG
Molecule: ribosomal RNA, 491 nt
Filed under: uncultured bacterium
Lineage: Bacteria
Description: partial 16S ribosomal RNA
Rfam family: Bacterial small subunit ribosomal RNA
Source: RNAcentral